This 72-nucleotide transfer RNA is filed under the name Bos taurus (domestic cattle). It matches the Rfam family "tRNA". Rfam says of the family: Transfer RNA (tRNA) molecules are approximately 80 nucleotides in length. Their secondary structure includes four short double-helical elements and three loops (D, anti-codon, and T loops). Lineage: Eukaryota; Metazoa; Chordata; Mammalia; Artiodactyla; Bovidae. The record is from Rfam by way of RNAcentral. RNAcentral also lists the same sequence under 2 other names.
UCCCUGAUAGCUAAGCUGGUAAAGAAUCUGCCUGAAAUGUAGAAGACUCCAGUUUGAUUCCUGGGUCAGGAA